This is a long non-coding RNA of Suricata suricatta (meerkat), 478 nucleotides long. RefSeq lists it as uncharacterized. Lineage: Eukaryota; Metazoa; Chordata; Mammalia; Carnivora; Herpestidae. The transcript is spliced from 2 exons. The record is from RefSeq and is a predicted model, not a curated record.
UGUGGGUCAAGUAUUUGGACUGAGCACAACUGGGACAGCUUGUCUUUGCUCCAUAAGGUGAGAGGCGUCAGCUGCGAGACCUGAAUGUCGGGGCUGCCUCCACAGCCUGGAGCUGGAAUCUUCUGGAGGCUCAUUCUCAUACACUUUGCCUACGAGGAGGGACCUGAGCGUCCCAUCCAUCCAGUCAAGGAUGCAAGGCUUAGGCCAACCCCUGGCCCAAGUCAAUUUGCCACCAUCAGUAUCUCCCUGAUACUGGAGACAUCAGCUGACAUACCCCUACACCUUGACAUUGCUGGACACCAUGUGAGUGAUUUUUUUUCUUUCCCUCUGAAACCAAGAAUAAAGUGAAGGGGUAGAAAUCAAAGCACAGGAGAGGAAGCCAUGAGUCAAAACGGAAACUAAGGAAAAGGGGCAGAGACGUUGCUUGCAAGAAAAAAGGCAGCAAAGAAUGAAUGAAUAAAAUAUCGCAGUGAUGGGA